UAUUCUGAAAACAUACAACUUAAGUAGCUGAUUCUGUGGAUAGUUGAAAUUCAAAUGUUGCGUACAUGCUUGAAGUCCUCGAAAACACUGUGUGGUUCUUAUUAUACUUUUAAUUUUGCUUCCAGAAAAAGAAAUUCUACAAAAAACUAGUGUCACUGUGGCUGGUGGGUUAAUGAGAGCUUUAUUUGAACUGCAUCAGUACACUGCAGAUUUUCCCCUCCUUUUCUUUAAAGAGUGAAGGGAUAACCAGGACCUCUGAGACUACAUGGACAGCCGGGACCACCCUUAAGUAUACAUAUAUUCUUUGACACAUCAUCUCCAUUUCUUUGUCCAUGUAAUUUCCACAAACUGUUGGUGCCAUUGACAAUGGAACCAAAUUCCUUAUGUGUGUGUGUGUGUGUAUAUAUAUAUAUAUAUAUAUAUAUAUAAACAUUCUAUGAUAUAAUUAUAUUUUUACAGUUUGUUUAUCUAUUUUAAGGGCCCUCCUGGAGUUCCAGGCAAACAGAGGAGGAAAGGAGAGCGAGGGAAACUCAUAGGGAAGAAUAGGACCGGUUGGAAUGCCAGGGUCACCUGGGAGACCAGGACCAGAGGGCACAGCUGGGAAGGAUGGGGAGACGGGCCCUCCAGGACAACCUGGGGAGGAUGUAAGACUUAUGGGAAUCUCAAUGCUCCAUAUGCAUCUUUCCAAAGUGAUUUAAGUUUUAGUAGUGUUAAAUAUAUUGUAUAUUCUGCCUAUAAUUGCAUACAUGUCUCUGUGCGUUUUUUCUGUAGGGCCCAAAAGGUUAUGUGGGAGAGAAGGGCAGGAGCUGGGUGAGUGGGUAAGAAUGACCAGGGUUUUUCUGUGGUUAAUGCAAUAACUAGUCCCUCAGGAAAUCUGUGCUUACAGAACUCCAGUGAAAACUGCACAGUUUUCCACAGAACUGGAACUUCUAUCAAGCAUUCAAUUCUGCAAAUCCUUUGACACAUUUGUGCCAGCUAUUUUGAAUACUGACAUUUUGUAAUAUUGAAUUAUAUUCUGCAGAACUCCGCAAAUUCCAUUUGGGCCUAGCCAUAACAUAACAUAAUCUAAAUAUCCAAGACAUAAACAGGAGUCCACUACUGUCCACAC
Cyprinus carpio (common carp) is the source of this 1108-nucleotide long non-coding RNA. Lineage: Eukaryota; Metazoa; Chordata; Actinopteri; Cypriniformes; Cyprinidae. The record is from Ensembl.